UUAGAUAUUGGCUGUUUCACUCUGGUUAGAGCCACCAACUCAGCGCCAGAAUGUAAAAAAACCCGAUUCACCAUCGGGUUUUUUUAC
This 87-nucleotide antisense RNA is filed under the name Serratia fonticola. RNAcentral describes it as "ArsR-gov region gene B". It matches the Rfam family "ArsR-gov region gene B". From Rfam's summary of the family: arsR-gov region gene B is transcribed opposite of dinQ (translates into a toxic single transmembrane peptide) with 30 complimentary nucleotides. Lineage: Bacteria; Pseudomonadati; Pseudomonadota; Gammaproteobacteria; Enterobacterales; Yersiniaceae. The record is from Rfam by way of RNAcentral.